GACGAACGCUGGCGGCGUGCUUAACACAUGCAAGUCGAACGGAAAGGCCCUGCUUUUGUGGGGUUCUCGAGUGGCGAACGGGUGAGUAACACGUGAGUAACCUGCCCUUGACUUUGGGAUAACUUCAGGAAACUGGGGCUAAUACCGGAUAGGAUCUCCUGCUGCAUGGUGGGGGUUGGAAAGUUUAGGCGGUUGGGGUUGGACUCGCGGCUUAUGAGCUUGUUGGUGGGGUAGUGGCUUACCCAGGCUUUGACGGGUAGGCGGCCUGAGAGGGUGACCGGCCACAUUGGGACUGAGGGACGGACCAGACGGCAACGGGAGACAGCAGUGGGGAGUAUGGCACAGUGGGCGGGAGCCUGAUGCAGAAACGCCGCGUGCGGGAUGACGGCCUUCGGGUUGUGAAACGCUGUCGCCUGUGACGAAGCGGGAGUGACGGUAAUGGAUAAAGAAGCACCGGCUAACUACGUG
RNAcentral lists this ribosomal RNA (468 nucleotides) under uncultured bacterium. RNAcentral's name for it is "partial 16S ribosomal RNA". It matches the Rfam family "Bacterial small subunit ribosomal RNA", at positions 28 to 507 of the family's 1533-position model. The record is from RNAcentral.